RNAcentral lists this unclassified non-coding RNA (253 nucleotides) under uncultured Micrococcaceae bacterium. Its description in RNAcentral is "contains 16S-23S intergenic spacer region". It matches the Rfam family "Bacterial small subunit ribosomal RNA", at positions 524 to 776 of the family's 1533-position model. Lineage: Bacteria; Bacillati; Actinomycetota; Actinomycetes; Micrococcales; Micrococcaceae. The record is from RNAcentral.
UACGGAGGGUGCGAGCGUUAUCCGGAAUUAUUGGGCGUAAAGAGCUUGUAGGCGGUUUGUCACGUCUGCUGUGAAAGCCCGGGGCUUAACUCCGGGUGUGCAGUGGGUGCGGGCUGGCUAGAGUGCAGUAGGGGAGACUGGAAUUCCUGGUGUAGCGGUGAAAUGCGUAGAUAUCAGGAGGAACACCGAUGGCGAAGGCAGGUCUCUGGGCUGUUACUGACGCUGAGAAGCGAAAGCAUGGGUAGCGAACAGG